GACGAACGCUGGCGGCGUGCUUAACACAUGCCAGUCGAACGGAAAGGCCCUGCUUUUGUGGGGUGCUCGAGUGGCGAACGGGUGAGUAACACGUGAGUAACCUGCCCUUGACUUUGGGAUAACUUCAGGAAACUGGGGCUAAUACCGGAUAGGAGCUCCUGCUGCAUGGUGGGGGUUGGAAAGUUUCGGCGGUUGGGGAUGGACUCGCGGCUUAUCAGCUUGUUGGUGGGGUAGUGGCUUACCAAGGCUUUGACGGGUAGCCGGCCUGAGAGGGUGACCGGCCACAUUGGGACUGAGAUACGGCCCAGACUCCUACGGGAGGCAGCAGUGGGGAAUAUUGCACAAUGGGCGGAAGCCUGAUGCAGCAACGCCGCAUGCGGGAUGACGGCCUUCGGGUUGUAAUCCGCUUUCGCCUGUGACGAAGCGUGAGUGACGGUAAUGGGUAAAGAAGCACCGGCUAACUACGUG
RNAcentral lists this ribosomal RNA (468 nucleotides) under uncultured bacterium. RNAcentral describes it as "partial 16S ribosomal RNA". It matches the Rfam family "Bacterial small subunit ribosomal RNA", at positions 28 to 507 of the family's 1533-position model. The record is from RNAcentral.